Molecule: unclassified non-coding RNA, 334 nt
Filed under: soil metagenome
Description: partial contains 5.8S ribosomal RNA, internal transcribed spacer 2, and large subunit ribosomal RNA
Rfam family: 5.8S ribosomal RNA (bases 1-120)
Source: RNAcentral
GAUGAAGAACGCAGCGAAAUGCGAUAAGUAAUGUGAAUUGCAGAAUUCAGUGAAUCAUCGAAUCUUUGAACGCACAUUGCGCCCGCCAGUAUUCUGGCGGGCAUGCCUGUUCGAGCGUCAUUUCAACCAUCAAGCCCCCGGCUUGUGUUGGGGACCUGCGGCUGCCGCAGGCCCUGAAAACCAGUGGCGGGCUCGCUAGUCACUCCGAGCGUAGUAAUACAUCUCGCUCAGGGCGUGCUGCGGGUUCCGGCCGUUAAAAGCCUUAUUUACCCAAAGUUGACCUCGGAUCAGGUAGGAAGACCCGCUGAACUUAAGCAUAUCAAUAAGCGGAGGA